CCCAUGUCUAAGUAUCAUUGAUUGUUCUAGUGUACUGAAGCAUAGAGUAGAACAAAGAUAACUAAGCUUUAGAAUUAUCUAGCUACAUGAAUGACUUUUAUAGUGUAUCAAAUGCUAAGUUACCUCUGUUCUAUUUUAUGAAUAUUUAGAGUUGUGAAUUGCAUAGCAACAAUGUAACUAACUUUGCCAAAUUUAUCUAUAUUAUACAAAUUAAUAUGUUCUGUGUGUUUGAAUUGUACAAUACCUAUUGUGAGAUAACAGCUGUCCUGAGAGCUUUUAAAAUAUCAUUUGCCAGCAAGGCAAGAAGCUCUAUUAAACCCUUGUCCCAUUAAGCAGAUUCUAUUUACAUCCAAAUAAACAGCAACUUGCGAAUAUUGUUGCAAUUUACGAAGUUCCAACUUUGUGAAAAUUGUGAACUUUUGUCGUCUAUUUCAGGCUUCUAGCCUUCCAAGUUUACUCAUAUAAGAUGACUUUCGGUUUAUUAAGUCUGGUUGAUGGGAAAACUAUUAAGUUUCAUCGAAAAAAUGAAGAAAAUAUGCACAAAAUCGAUGAAAUUAUUUCCAAUACGCUCCCAA
Paramuricea clavata is the source of this 575-nucleotide non-coding RNA. NCBI's taxonomy places the organism in Eukaryota, Metazoa, Cnidaria, Anthozoa, Malacalcyonacea, Plexauridae. The record is from the annotation of a GenBank genome assembly.